GUGUGAGGGUGUGUGAGUGUGUGUGUGUGUGUGUGAGUGUGUGUGUGUGUGUGUUGGUGUGUGUGUGAGUGUGUGAGUGUGAGUGUGUGUGGGGGGGGCAAAUAACCCUGUUUACAUAUUUAAUACUAAACAGAGUCAAAAGACAUCAACGCAACAUGAACAGAAAAAUGAUUGAAGCUGUGAAAACCACUGAACGACUGACUGACCUCUGACCUGAUGUUACCUGACCUCUGACCUCUAUAAAUAUAUAUAAAGUAUAUAUAUAUAUAUAUAUAUAUAUAUAUAUAUAUAUAUAUAUAUAUAUAUAUUUUCAUAUACAUAUCGUGAUUAAAUCACGUGUAUAUAAGAGAACUGAGUUCAUGAUUCAAGUCAGUUCUGACAACUGUGUGAAAUCACCUGGAGAAAACCAACAACCAAUAAGAGCAGAUUGUGGGCGGAGCUUAGUGUUGGAAUGAAACAGAGAGAAAUCUAGUUUCUGUCCGACCGGUUACUGACCCGUCACCACGUCCCCAGAAACACCUGAUGAAUAUUCACGUGGUUCAUUAUAAUAAUAUUAAUAAUAAUAUGAUCAAACAUGUCAUAAAGAUCAAACUUUGUCGUGUCGAAAGCAACAGAAGCUGCAGAUCAACAAUCCGACAAAGACUUAGAGAGAAUCUAGUGAUGAAGAUCAUCACACAAAUCAGAACAGACAGAAUGAUGAUGAUGAACACGAACAGGUCAAAGAGUGAAAGGACGAGAAAAUCAAUAAAACAUGGAUCAAAGUAAAGAAUCUACAGCUUCACUGAUUGUUAGAUAUUAUCAAAGCAACACAAACGAAGGGCAAGCUCCAUAGAGAAUAACUGGAAAGAGCGUGAGAGAGAGAGAUGGCAACCGACAGGAACAAGGGGGGAGUGGUCGAGCUCCAUAGAGAAUGAACAGGGAGAGAGAGAGACAGAGAGAUCACCAUCAGGUAGAACAGGUUUGGGCGAGGCAGACGAGCGAGCCUCACACACAGUGAAAAGGAGAGAGAGAGACAGAUUUCUGCUGUUUAUGUUGCUGUCUUCAUUUCACUUCAGGAGAAGAAGAAUGAGGAUAAAACAUAGAGAAGAACAAGAACAAGACGGAGAAUAACAAGAAGGAGAAAAAACACCUGCAGCCUCUGAACAGAGCUCUUUCACCCUGACUCAGUGAUUGGUCAGUUUUACCCCCGCCCCUUGCGACACGCCACCAUGUCAUCAAACAUCAACGUUUCCCUGGAAAAUCCAUACAGUCAGGUGACCAUUCCAAGGGCUAAGCUCCGCCCCUCCAACGAUGUCGCCACUGUCAUAGCCAAUCCAAUGGCUUUGAGCGGUAACGACGGGAACCCGUACAGCUCAAGCUCCGCCCCCCCGCCAGCAUAUAUGGUGAAGGAGGAUGGAGGUGGGGAGGAGGGGGAGGGGGGGUGGUGCCGUGCCUGCUGCUACCGCUGCAAGAGGAGGAAGUGAUGUCACAGCACCAGGAUGUGACUUCACAGCACCAGGAUGUGAUGCCACAGCACCCGGAUGUGACGUCACAUCAACAGGAUGUGAUGCCACAGCACCAGAAGGAUCUGACAGGCUCAGAUUUAUUUAUUGUGUAGUUGAUGUUUCUGUCUCUCCCCCGAGGAAACAUCAGAGAAAGGCAGGAUGGAAGGAAACGACAUAAGGACACAACAGAGGAGGUGAAGAAGAAAGGAAAAAGGAAGGAAGGAAAGAAGGAAGGGCCCAUUUGAGGAAGUUGUUUCCUUAAUGGCGGCCAUUUUGUAUCAGUUAAACAUCUAACAGUAAAAACUCAAAAAAAACUGUCUGUGUUAACUUCCUGAGUUCAGUUAAGAAACUAAUCCAGCUCUACUUCCUGAAACAUUCCUGCAGCUCAACAGGCCCCACCCCCUGAGGAAGGCCAAAGCUUCAAGAAUGAUCGAUAUACAAAACAACAACCUGACGUCUUCGAAGCUUUUUGACAAAUUCUGAUGUUAUUUCAACAAAAAAUGAAGUUAAUCAAACCAGUUUAAAAUGAAUGAAUCUCAGAUUAAUCUCUGAGUCCACCCUUGGGUGAAUCUUUGUAAAUAUAUAAAUAUAAAAAAAAAAAAAAAAAUAUAUAUAUAUAUAUAUAUAUAUAUAUAUAUAUAUAUAUAUAUAUAUACACACUUUGUGCUGAUCCCAAAGAAGCACCAAGGAUUUUCUUAAAGAAGAUGAUGAACAACCCGUGUGUCUCAUUAGUACAAGUUGAGAUCUUAUUAUAUAUUUCACUUCUGUGUUGCAGUAUUUAUAUUUGUUCACGAGAACGACUUGGAAUACCUUGGUAUGAAGGAGGUUUUGAAGUAUGAAUAUGAGGUGAAAUAAAAACCAUGUGAAGAAGAAUAUUUAGUAUUUUUUAAACUUGUGGAGUUAAUGUUUGAUUUAUAUGAACAGAAACAUACGUGUAUUUAUGUGUAUAACUGUAUGUAAUAUAUAAAUUUACAUGUAUAUACAG
This is a long non-coding RNA of Scophthalmus maximus (turbot), 2469 nucleotides long. RefSeq lists it as uncharacterized. Lineage: Eukaryota; Metazoa; Chordata; Actinopteri; Pleuronectiformes; Scophthalmidae. The record is from RefSeq and is a predicted model, not a curated record. The transcript has 2 exons.